Molecule: unclassified non-coding RNA, 239 nt
Filed under: Hevea brasiliensis (rubber tree)
Lineage: Eukaryota; Viridiplantae; Streptophyta; Magnoliopsida; Malpighiales; Euphorbiaceae
Source: RNAcentral
GUGUAUAUGACCUUCUCACGAAAGGGAACUUUCCUGUCAGCACUCUGAACUUCGGGAAGAAAUGAGAGAAAUGGUCUCACAAGAUGAAGAACUCUAAAUCCACCUCCCAUCUUAUUAAUACGUACCUAAACAAAUUCAACCGUAGAGAAUCGAUAACGCAGAGAAACAAAAGGAGGUAAAAAAAAUGUGUGCAGAGAUCAAACACUUAAAAAGGGUUGAUCCGAAGCCGGAGGGACGUU